CCUACGGGUGGCAGCAGUCGAGAAUCAUUCACAAUGGGGGAAACCCUGAUGGUGCGACGCCGCGUGGGGGAAUGAAGGUCUUCGGAUUGUAAACUCCUGUCAUGUGGGAGAAAAUUAAAAAGAUAGUACCACAAGAGGAAGAGACGGCUAACUCUGUGCCAGCAGCCGCGGUAAUACCGAGGUCUCAAGCGUUGUUCGGAAUCACUGGGCGUAAAGCGUGCGUAGGCUGUUUCGUAAGUCGUGUGUGAAAGGUGCGGGCUCAACCCGCGGACGGCACCUGAAACUGCGAGACUAGAGUAAUGGAGGGGGAACCGGAAUUCUCGGUGUAGCAGUGAAAUGCGUAGAUAUCGGGAGGAACACUCGUGGCGAAGGCGGGUUCCUGGACAUUAACUGACGCUGAGGCACGAAGGCCAGGGGAGCGAAAGGGAUUAGAUACCCCGGUAGUC
Molecule: ribosomal RNA, 446 nt
Filed under: uncultured bacterium
Lineage: Bacteria
Description: partial 16S ribosomal RNA
Rfam family: Bacterial small subunit ribosomal RNA
Source: RNAcentral